AGCAGCCGCGGUAAUUCCAGCUCCAAUAGCGUAUAUUAAAGUUGUUGCAGUUAAAAAGCUCGUAGUUGAAUUUCGGGAUCAAUAUAUCGGUCGUGCCUUUGGUACGUACUGGUAUCAUUGAUUUCUCCUUUCUGACGAAUCAUGAUGUCAUUAAUUUGGUGUUAUGAGGAGUUAGGACUGUUACUUUGAAAAAAAUUAGAGUGUUUAAAGCAGGCAUUAGCUUGAAUACAUUAGCAUGGAAUAAUGAAAUAGGACGUUUGACCCUAUUUUGUUGGUUUUUAGGAUCGACGUAAUGAUUAAUAGGGAUAGUUGGGGGCAUUAGUAUUCAAUUGUCAGAGGUGAAAUUCUUGGAUUUAUUGAAGACCAACUACUGCGAAAGCAUUUGCCAAGGAUGUUUUCAUUAAUCAAGAACGAAAGUUAGGGGAUCGAAGACGAUCAGAUACCGUCGUAGUCUUAACCAUAAACUAUGCCGACUAGGGAUCGGAUGAUGUUAAUUUUUUAAUGACUCAUUCGGCGCCUU
Molecule: ribosomal RNA, 520 nt
Filed under: uncultured Glomus
Lineage: Eukaryota; Fungi; Glomeromycota; Glomeromycetes; Glomerales; Glomeraceae
Description: SSU rRNA
Rfam family: Eukaryotic small subunit ribosomal RNA
Source: RNAcentral